CAGCCCUUUAUUAUAAUUGUUGUACAGCAAGAGAAUUAUAAACAUAACUUUUUAAAACGCACUUGUAUAUUAUUCAAUUUUUGAUUUAAGUGGACCAUACAAUCCACUUAAUUAAAGAAAAGUGCAUUUGUAAUGAGUCAUGACUAACAAUUUUGAAGUCAAACAUGUACAUGUAAAUUAUUUGUAAAUUACUUAUUUAAACCUAGUCAAUAUUCUUGCUUUUUUUUAUUUACAUCUACCAUGCUUUUUUUUUAUAUCCAUAUACACAAAUAUUUACACUUACAUGUACUAUGUAACGAUGAUCACACAAGAGAUAUAUGUAUGUACCUGCACUUUUUAUACAGCAGAAGAGCAAAAAAAAAUCUUCAUUUGCACAGUAUUGUGCAAUAGAUUUUUGAGAUCUUUGACCACAUUCAUUUUGUGACAGAAACCUAUAUUAUUUCAAAAAUUUGAUCACAAUCCACAUUCAGACAGUAUCAAGCUUGAAUAUUGUGUCCAAAUUUGCCCAAACUGUUCCAAGAUUCAACCUCUGCUGUUGUAUCAGGCUACACUCAGCCAAGCAUUUUAUUAUAGAUUAUAUCUCAGUCAAACUAUAUGUAUGUAGUUUUGUUUAUUUUUCAUUGUUCAAAGACAAUAUGUAUUGCUUAUAAUUGAAUGAAUUUCGGUAUAUGUACAUGUACACUGUCAUUAGACAUGUUAGAAGCAGUUUUGGAUUUCACGUACAAAUAUUUUGGUCAAUCAGCUUUGGCUUUCCAUUGAAUAAUUUUGCAUGUAUUAUCUUCAUGGCUUAAGAGACAGGAGAUUUGUAAAAAAAGAAAUACAGAAAGAUGAAUAUGCACUAAACAUGCUAAAAGAUUUGGAUAUUUUUGUCUAAAAAAACAGCAUACAUGUACCAGACCUAAUCCAGGUCAUACAUUUAUAUUUAAAUAAUUAAUAUUCAUGUGUACAUGUAUAUGCACAUUAUUAAAAAAUUUCAUAUGUACAUGUAUGCAGAUAUUAAGGCUUUAUUGACCAUGUUGACACUUGAACAGAUUUUUAUGCCCAACCUACGAUAGUAAAAGGGUCAUUAUGUGUUCUGGUCUGUGGGUCCGUCCGUUCAUUCGUCUGUUGGUCCAUCUGUUCAUUCCCCCUCAGGUUAAAGUUUUUGGUCAAAGUAGUUUUUGAUGAAGUUGAAGUCCAAUCAACUUGAAACUUAGUACACAUAUUCUGUAUGAUAUGAUCUUUCUAAAUUUAAUGCCAAAUUAGAGUUUUGACCCCAAUUUCAUGGUCCAUUGAACACAUGUACUAUGGACACAUUCUUGUUUUUAGCUCACCUGGCCCUAAGUGCAUGAAGUGAGCUUUUCUCAUCACUUGGCGUCCGUUGUCCUGCUGUCGUCUGUUAACUUUUUGCAAAAAUCUUCUCCUCUGAAACUACUUGGGUACAAUCAUCAUUGGGGUAUUUAGUUAAAAAAAUGUGUCCGGUGACCUGGCCAGCCAACCAAGAUGGCGUCCAUGUCUAAAAAUUAAAUAUAGGGGUAAAAUGUAGAUUUUGGUUUAUAACUCUGAAAUCAAAGCAUUUAGAGCAUAUCUUACAUUGGGUUAAAUUGUUAAUCAAGUCAAGAUCUAACUGCCCUGAAAUUUUUAGAUGAAUCGAACAACCGGUUGUUGUGUUGCUGCCCCUGAAUUGAUAAUUUUAAGGAAAUUUUGCUGUUUUAGGUUAUUAUCUCCAAUAUUAGUAUAAAUAUAGAUAAACUGUAAACAGCAAAGUAAUACCUACAAAUAAGUUAUGAUGAGCAAAAUGGUCAAUUGACUCCUUAAGGAGUUAUUGCCCAUUAUAGUCAAUUUUACCAUUUUUCUUGAAUUUUUGUAAUCUUUUACAAAAAUCUUCUCCUCUGAAACUACUGGGCCAAAUUUAACCAAACUUCUUUGCCAAAAUCAUCAUUGGGGUUUCUAGUUUUAAAAUAUGUCUGGGGACCCAGCCUGCCAACCAAGAUGGCCGCCAUGGCUAAACAUAGGGGUAAAAUGUAACAAUUUUCAUAAAUUUUGUAAAUUUUGGUAAAUUUUUACAAAAUAUUUUUCUGUAACUACUGGGCAAAGUGCAUUAUAGAUAGAUAUAUUGUUAACAGCAAAAGUGUUCAUUAAAGUAAUAUGGCGUCACAGGGGUUGGCCAAUAUCUACGAACACAUCACCAUCACCAAAACACAAUUUUGUCAUAAAUCCAUCUGUGUCCUUUGUUUAAUAUGCACAUAGACCAAGGUGAGCGACACAGGCUCUUUAGAGCCUCUAGUUAGUUUAUAUGAAAUAGUGUUUUCUUUUACCCAAAAAUGAAUGAUAGGCCUUACUUGACUCAAAUAUUCAGUUAGUACAAAAUGUUUAUGCAUGUGUUCAAAAUUUGCAGUUGACUUUUUGACAGGUUAUGGUGCUAUCGUAUAGAAGGCAAUAAAGGAAUGUGCAUUGAAGAAAAAUAUUAUUAUAUUUAUGCAUUAUGGAGUACAUGUAGUACUUAUUUUGCCACCAGAAUGUAUAAGCUUUAACUAUUGUACUGUAGAUUAUGGGUACUUUUAUUUAAGGAUAAAAUUUAUAAAUAUUCAUCUGUUGUUCAUUUUAUCCUGCUCAUGAUGGAGUGAAAGUGAGACAUAUAAGGUGACAACUACUGAUUUUUGAAGUUAUUCAAAAUGUUUUAUAUUCAAAAGGUAAAAGUA
This 2681-nucleotide long non-coding RNA is filed under the name Mytilus galloprovincialis (Mediterranean mussel). Lineage: Eukaryota; Metazoa; Mollusca; Bivalvia; Mytilida; Mytilidae. The record is from RNAcentral.